Molecule: ribosomal RNA, 468 nt
Filed under: uncultured bacterium
Lineage: Bacteria
Description: partial 16S ribosomal RNA
Rfam family: Bacterial small subunit ribosomal RNA
Source: RNAcentral
GACGAACGCUGGCGGCGUGCUUAACACAUGCAAGUCGAACGGAAAGGCCCUGCUUUUGUGGGGUGCUCGAGUGGCGAACGGGUGAGUAACACGUGAGUAACCUGCCCUUGACUUUGGGAUAACUUCAGGAAACUGGGGCUAAUACCGGAUAGGAGCUCCCGCUGCAUGGUGGGGGUUGGAAAGUUUCGGCGGUUGGGGAUGGACUCGCGGCUUAUCAGCUUGUUGGUGGGGUAGUGGCUUACCAAGGCUUUGACGGGUAGCCGGCCUGAGAGGGUGACCGGCCACAUGGGGACUGAGAUACGGCCCAGACUCCUACGGGAGGCAGCAGUGGGGAAUAUUGCACAAUGGGCGGAAGCCUGAUGCAGCAACGCCGCGUGCGGGAUGACGGCCUUCGGGUUGUAAACCGCUUUCGCCUGUGACGAAGCGUGAGUGACGGUAAUGGGUGAAGAAGCACCGGCUAACUACGUG